GGAAUUAAAAACCACAGCUCACGUUGACUCAGCUCAUGUUUCAAGUUCUCCUGAAUCAUCAGUGAACGCGGACUUCAGGUCUGAAUGUGGGUCAUAAAUGUGUUUGAAUGUAACAGGAUAGAGUGAGCCAGAUACACAGGAGAAAAAAACCAAAACUUUCAAGUGGGUGUGAAAAAAACGACCCACCUCUCCAAAUCUGUUAGCUGUUUGAUUAGCUCCCGUUGGCUGUGGGAAAACCAAGGCACAAAUGUUAUGUCCGGGGGCCUAAAGCUGUUCCAGUGACAGCAGGAGGAGGGCUAGAGAGUAGUCGAUGCAAAGGCAGAGAGCAGGAACCCUCCGCCCAGAGAAGAGGCACUGGGGGACCCUGGACGGGGUGAGGCCAGCUGGAGGCCCCCCUCCGGCUGCCUAGUGACCCACAGAGCACCAACUGACAAGCAGCUGCUGUGAGCUUCUCUGCCCCAGGCUGGCUCUGCAGGUGUUUCCUGUUGAGUGCAGGCUGACUUCCAUCGGUGACAUGGGCCGGACCGCUGGGGCAGCAUCUGUUCUGUGGGUCCCGGUAUACGCAUUAGCUUUCUCAAGGCACUAACAUUUUGAGAAGAUACAGAUUAAAUGGAGAAGUCUGCUGAGCCUGUGGCUUUGUGGCAGUGUUGGUCUGCAAUAGGCACAUGUGAUAUUGUGAUUUACAAUGUAUAUUUGGUUUGUGAUCCAUUCCUGGCACAGAGCUCCUAAAACACUUGGAAUUUCCUGUGAUAGCAAUGAAGGUGUCUUUUGUGAUGUUAA
Long non-coding RNA from Herpailurus yagouaroundi (jaguarundi), 780 nucleotides. RefSeq lists it as uncharacterized. NCBI's taxonomy places the organism in Eukaryota, Metazoa, Chordata, Mammalia, Carnivora, Felidae. The transcript has 2 exons. The record is from RefSeq and is a predicted model, not a curated record.